Molecule: microRNA precursor, 73 nt
Filed under: Scleropages formosus (Asian bonytongue)
Lineage: Eukaryota; Metazoa; Chordata; Actinopteri; Osteoglossiformes; Osteoglossidae
Description: mir-148/mir-152 microRNA precursor family
Rfam family: mir-148/mir-152 microRNA precursor family
About the family: The hairpin precursors (represented here) are predicted based on base pairing and cross-species conservation -- their extents are not known. In this case the mature sequence is excised from the 3' arm of the hairpin.
Source: Rfam by way of RNAcentral
UGAAAUCAAAGUUCUGUAACACGUGGACUCUGAAUGUGAUGGAAGUCAGUGCACUACAGAACUUUCUUUUCGG